AGCCUGAACGCUGGCGGCGUGGUUAAGACAUGCAAGUCGCACGGACGUAGCAAUACGUUAGUGGCGAACGGGUGAGUAAUGAAUCGCUAAUGUACCCCGGACUCCGGGAUAGCUGCCCGAAAGGGCAGGUAAUACCGGAUGACAUAACCGCACGGCAUCGUGUGGUUCUCAAGGGUCCGCCGGUCUGGGAGCAGGCGAUUUCGUAUCAGCUAGUUGGUGAGGUAACGGCUCACCAAGGCGACGACGCGUAGCCGGACUGAGAGGUUGGCCGGCCACAUCGGGGACUGAGACACUGCCCGGACUCCUACGGGGGGCUGCAGUAACGAAUCUUCCCCAAUGCACGAAAGUGUGAGGGAGCGACGCCGCGUGUGGGACGAAGUCCUUCGGGAUGUAACCACUGUCAGGGGAUACCAAGUUCUGAGGAUCCCCAGAGGAAGAGGCGGCUAACUCUGCGCCAGCAGCCGC
RNAcentral lists this ribosomal RNA (465 nucleotides) under uncultured bacterium. Its description in RNAcentral is "SSU rRNA". It matches the Rfam family "Bacterial small subunit ribosomal RNA", at positions 26 to 518 of the family's 1533-position model. The record is from RNAcentral.